This 396-nucleotide long non-coding RNA is filed under the name Melopsittacus undulatus (budgerigar). RNAcentral's name for it is "lncRNA (ENSMUNG00000021116.1)". The record is from RNAcentral. Lineage: Eukaryota; Metazoa; Chordata; Aves; Psittaciformes; Psittaculidae.
CCCUGCGUGGUGCGUGAUACCCCAAAGCCCCCCGCCUUGAAGUGGGGAAGAAAUAGCCACCAAGUCCCCCCGAUCCUCCUCCGUGUGUCCCCUUCGGCAACCCCGAGCUGCGGCAGGAGUGGGGGGGAGGCUGCCUGCCCCCUGACUGCGCGGGGCUGCCAGCCACGGAGCAGCUUAAAGCAAAUCUGCCUGCAGACCCGGCGGUCUGCUGCCGCUGAAAUCCCUAAUUAUGCAAAGAGAGUUGGUGAAUUUGCAACAGCAAGAGUGGUAAACUUGAGCAACACUUGGAGCCCAGAGGGCCCAGCUCUGAGCCCAGUGCCCAGACCUGCCAUCUCUUUGGCUCUCAGGGUGGUGGCAACAGCAGCAAACUCUGCAAAACGCCUUUUUCCUGAAUAA